CGGGGAUGUGCCUAAUACAUGCAAGUCGAACGCGUUGGCCCAAUUGAUUGAUGGUGCUUGCACCUGAUUGAUUUUGGUCGCCAACGAGUGGCGGACGGGUGAGUAACACGUAGGUAACCUGCCCAGAAGCGGGGGACAACAUUUGGAAACAGAUGCUAAUACCGCAUAACAACGUUGUUCGCAUGAACAACGCUUAAAAGAUGGCUUCUCGCUAUCACUUCUGGAUGGACCUGCGGUGCAUUAGCUUGUUGGUGGGGUAAUGGCCUACCAAGGCGAUGAUGCAUAGCCGAGUUGAGAGACUGAUCGGCCACAAUGGGACUGAUACACGGCCCAUACUCCUGCGGGAGGCAGCUGAAAGGAAUCUUCCUCAUUGCGCG
RNAcentral lists this ribosomal RNA (377 nucleotides) under Limosilactobacillus fermentum. RNAcentral describes it as "bacterial SSU rRNA". It matches the Rfam family "Bacterial small subunit ribosomal RNA", at positions 38 to 377 of the family's 1533-position model. The record is from RNAcentral. Lineage: Bacteria; Bacillati; Bacillota; Bacilli; Lactobacillales; Lactobacillaceae.